AGGAAAAUAGUUUAAAAAAAAACACUUGAAUUGCAAUCAAAAAAUAUUAAUAUUUAAUUUUUCUUA
This 66-nucleotide transfer RNA is filed under the name Aporia hippia. RNAcentral's name for it is "tRNA-Ala". The record is from RNAcentral. Lineage: Eukaryota; Metazoa; Arthropoda; Insecta; Lepidoptera; Pieridae.